RNAcentral lists this ribosomal RNA (916 nucleotides) under uncultured bacterium. RNAcentral's name for it is "bacterial SSU rRNA". It matches the Rfam family "Bacterial small subunit ribosomal RNA", at positions 91 to 1004 of the family's 1533-position model. The record is from RNAcentral.
UUCAGCGGCGGACGGGUGAGUAAUGCCUAGGAAUCUGCCCGAUAGUGGGGGACAACGUUUCGAAAGGAACGCUAAUACCGCAUACGUCCUACGGGAGAAAGCAGGGGACCUUCGGGCCUUGCGCUAUCGGAUGAGCCUAGGUCGGAUUAGCUAGUUGGUGGGGUAAAGGCUCACCAAGGCGACGAUCCGUAACUGGUCUGAGAGGAUGAUCAGUCACACUGGAACUGAGACACGGUCCAGACUCCUACGGGAGGCAGCAGUGGGGAAUAUUGGACAAUGGGCGAAAGCCUGAUCCAGCCAUGCCGCGUGUGUGAAGAAGGUCUUCGGAUUGUAAAGCACUUUAAGCUGGGAGGAAGGGCAGUAAGUUAAUACCUUGCUGUUUUGACGUUACCAGCAGAAUAAGCACCGGCUAACUUCGUGCCAGCAGCCGCGGUAAUACGAAGGGUGCAAGCGUUAAUCGGAAUUACUGGGCGUAAAGCGCGCGUAGGUGGUUCAGCAAGUUGGAUGUGAAAGCCCCGGGCUCAACCUGGGAACUGCAUCCAAAACUACUGGGCUAGAGUAUGGUAGAGGGUGGUGGAAUUUCCUGUGUAGCGGUGAAAUGCGUAGAUAUAGGAAGGAACACCAGUGGCGAAGGCGACCACCUGGACUAAUACUGACACUGAGGUGCGAAAGCGUGGGGAGCAAACAGGAUUAGAUACCCUGGUAGUCCACGCCGUAAACGAUGUCAACUAGUUGUUGGGUUCCUUGAGGACUUAGUAACGAAGCUAACGCGAUAAGUUGACCGCCUGGGGAGUACGGCCGCAAGGUUAAAACUCAAAUGAAUUGACGGGGGCCCGCACAAGCGGUGGAGCAUGUGGUUUUAUUCGAAGCACGCGAAGAACCUUACCUGGCCUUGACAUGCUGAGAACUUUCCAGA